UUUCAUUAGCUAGCCACCUGUGCAACGUCAUUGCAGUAGGGGAACAUCGGUCCUCGAACUGUCAGACAUUAUUUUCUGCCUGGAAACACUAUAAACUAAUCGGAAGAGCGAGAGAGAAAGAGUUGGAUCUCGUGGGGUCGAUUGCGAGGGUAUGGGGGGAGGCCAGAGUCAUGAGAGGAGUCUGCCAGAGGAGGGGGAGAGAGUGGGGUCUUUAUCCACAUCCCAGGAUUCCCAGAGACAACCCUCCUCAGAGAGCACCACUGUAGAGGUUCUCUCCCCCUCCUGUUCCUUCUGUUGUCUUCCUCCAGAGCCUUACCCAGAAGCCCUAGCCCAGCUGCCCCAGUGCCAGAUGGGUAGCAGAAAGGUGGAUGACAUGUGUUUCAUGAUCUCCUGCACCAACUGGUAUUAAGAACACUACGAACCAGCUGUUGCUUUUCUGCGCUGUCUGAAAUGAACCUCAAUUUGACCUAUGCUGCCUCUCUCAUGGUUUACUGCUAUAUAGUUGAAUGCAGUAUGGAGGUCUUGGAGCACUUUAAAUCUUGUACUUUAAUUGCUGAUGCCUGAAGCCCCCCGGCCCCACUCAGGACCUCUGUCAUAAUAUUACUGUACAGACAUUUUGUAAAAUUUGCCUUAAAGAUGCUGUAAAGUGGAAUUGAAAAUGAGUUUUAAGUUCAUCACACCACAGAAGAAUGUGUCGUUAUCUACCCAUCCAAAUUUGAAAAAAAACUGACAUGUUAAAUUAGGCUUUGAAAUCGUGAGUGAGUUAAUUACUUUGUAACAGAAUGCAACCGUCUGUGAUCUGACGUAGAUAGGUCGCUGUGACGUAGAUCGGUCGGGUUUUGGCUCCGCCUUUACAAAACCUGAGCUGAAAACGGGAGAGAAACUGUUCAACGGUCUAACUCCACAUUUCAGAGCAACAACGUUUUUUCACUUUGCACAUGCUUUCAGGAACUCAUUUCUCACAUAUAUAAUGUACUGAGAAGCAAAUCAUGGAAUUUGCUUUACGGCAGCUUUAAUUGUAUAAUUAAAGCAUAAUUGUGAUUUAAUGCUGUGCGUCACCCUACCUGCGUCACCCCACCUGCAUGUACAGUAUAUAUACUGUAAAUAUACCAAUAAGAAAAUAAUCAGUCAUGCAGAUAAUCAAGUUUUCACUUUUAUUGAAAUGUCUUUGUUAAUAGAACAUGGUGAUAUUGUAAGAUUCUCAGUGUGGUCCUGUAAAAUGAAAUGAACUGGAAAAAAGAUACCUUUGUCCCUAACCAAUAAACUUGUAUUUGCUCUUUAAAAAAAA
Long non-coding RNA from Hypomesus transpacificus, 1288 nucleotides. RefSeq lists it as uncharacterized. The transcript is spliced from 3 exons. NCBI's taxonomy places the organism in Eukaryota, Metazoa, Chordata, Actinopteri, Osmeriformes, Osmeridae. The record is from RefSeq and is a predicted model, not a curated record.